AAUUGUAUAGCGCAAUGGUAACGCACUUGUUUUUGUAACGGGAGGACCUGGGUUUAAUUUUUGGUACGAUUU
Molecule: transfer RNA, 72 nt
Filed under: Gaeumannomyces tritici R3-111a-1
Lineage: Eukaryota; Fungi; Ascomycota; Sordariomycetes; Magnaporthales; Magnaporthaceae
Description: tRNA-Gln (TTG) (tRNA-Gln-TTG-29-1)
Rfam family: tRNA
About the family: Transfer RNA (tRNA) molecules are approximately 80 nucleotides in length. Their secondary structure includes four short double-helical elements and three loops (D, anti-codon, and T loops).
Source: Rfam by way of RNAcentral